Angiostrongylus costaricensis is the source of this 72-nucleotide non-coding RNA. The record is from Rfam. NCBI's taxonomy places the organism in Eukaryota, Metazoa, Nematoda, Chromadorea, Rhabditida, Metastrongylidae.
UCCGGUGUGGUCUAGUGGUUAGGAUUUGCGGCUAUCACCCGCAAAGCCUGGGUUCGAUUGCUGGCAAAGGAA